UUGUGUUAUAGAGAAUGGAGC
RNAcentral lists this non-coding RNA (21 nucleotides) under Gossypium hirsutum (cotton). The record is from RNAcentral. Lineage: Eukaryota; Viridiplantae; Streptophyta; Magnoliopsida; Malvales; Malvaceae.